This 497-nucleotide ribosomal RNA is filed under the name uncultured bacterium. Its description in RNAcentral is "partial 16S ribosomal RNA". It matches the Rfam family "Bacterial small subunit ribosomal RNA", at positions 28 to 507 of the family's 1533-position model. The record is from RNAcentral.
GAUGAACGCUGGCGGCGUGCCUAAUACAUGCAAGUCGAGCGAACGGACGAUAAGCUUGCUUCUCUGAUGUUAGCGGCGGACGGGUGAGUAACACGUGGAUAACCUACCUAUAAGACUGGGAUAACUUCGGGAAACCGGAGCUAAUACCGGAUAAUAUUUUGAACCGCAUGGUUCAAAAGUGAAAGACGGUCUUGCUGUCACUUAUAGAUGGAUCCGCGCUGCAUUAGCUAGUUGGUAAGGUAACGGCUUACCAAGGCAACGAUGCAUAGCCGACCUGAGAGGGGGAUCGGCCACACUGGAGCUGGAACACGGUCCAGACUCCUACGGGAGGCAGCAGUAGGGAAUCUUCCGCAAUGGGCGAAAGCCUGACGGAGCAACGCCGCGUGAGUGAUGAAGGUCUUCGGAUCGUAAAACUCUGUUAUUAGGGAAGAACAUAUGUGUAAGUAACUGUGCACAUCUUGACGGUACCUAAUCAGAAAGCCACGGCUAACUACGUG